This 468-nucleotide ribosomal RNA is filed under the name uncultured bacterium. Its description in RNAcentral is "partial 16S ribosomal RNA". It matches the Rfam family "Bacterial small subunit ribosomal RNA", at positions 28 to 507 of the family's 1533-position model. The record is from RNAcentral.
GACGAACGCUGGCGGCGUGCUUAACACAUGCAAGUCGAACGGAAAGGCCCUGCUUUUGUGGGGUGCUCGAGUGGCGAACGGGUGAGUAACACGUGAGUAACCUGCCCUUGACUUUGGGAUAACUUCAGGAAACUGGGGCUAAUACCGGAUAGGAGCUCCUGCUGCAUGGUGGGGGUUGGAAAGUUUCGGCGGUUGGGGAUGGACUCGCGGCUUAUCAGCUUGUUGGUGGGGUAGUGGCUUACCAAGGCUUUGACGGGUAGCCGGCCUGAGAGGGUGACCGGCGAAAUUGGGACUGAGAGACGGCCCAGACUCCUACGGGAGGCAGCAGUGGGGAAUAUUGCACAAUGGGCGGAAGCCUGAUGCAGCAACGCCGCGUGCGGGAUGACGGCCUUCGGGUUGUAAACCGCUUUCGCCUGUGACGAAGCGUGAGUGACGGUAAUGGGUAAAGAAGCACCGGCUAACUACGUG